Molecule: ribosomal RNA, 346 nt
Filed under: uncultured bacterium
Lineage: Bacteria
Description: partial 16S ribosomal RNA
Rfam family: Bacterial small subunit ribosomal RNA
Source: RNAcentral
CCUACGGGCGGCUGCAGUGGGGAAUAUUGGGCAAUGGGCGCAAGCCUGACCCAGCAACGCCGCGUGAAGGAAGAAGGCUUUCGGGUUGUAAACUUCUUGUCGCAGGGACGAAGCAAGUGACGGGACCGGAGGAAUAAGCCACGGCUAAGUACGUGCCAGCAGCCGCGGUAAUACGUAGGUGGCACGCGUUAGCCGGAUUUACGGGGUGUAAAGGGCGUGUAGGCGGGACGGAAAGUCAGAGGGGAAAACCCCGGGCUCAACCUGUGGCCUGCAUUUGAAACGGUAGUUCUUGAGUACUGGAGCGGCAGCCGGACUUCCUCUUGUAGCGGUGACAUUCGUAGUUCUU